This 119-nucleotide microRNA precursor is filed under the name Hordeum vulgare. RNAcentral describes it as "miR5050 stem-loop (hvu-MIR5050)". Lineage: Eukaryota; Viridiplantae; Streptophyta; Magnoliopsida; Poales; Poaceae. The record is from miRBase by way of RNAcentral.
GCUGGUGUUUUUGCCGGUUGAACGACCUCACCAUGUCGACCGCCUCUUCCUUGACAGGUAUCAGGAAGAAAAGAUCUGCUCGUGCCAUGUUGAGGUCGUUCAACCAGCAAAACGGCGGC